This 275-nucleotide ribosomal RNA is filed under the name uncultured Gemmatimonas sp. Its description in RNAcentral is "partial 16S ribosomal RNA". It matches the Rfam family "Bacterial small subunit ribosomal RNA", at positions 338 to 613 of the family's 1533-position model. The record is from RNAcentral. Lineage: Bacteria; Pseudomonadati; Gemmatimonadota; Gemmatimonadia; Gemmatimonadales; Gemmatimonadaceae.
CCUACGGGGGGCUGCAGUGGGGAAUAUUGCGCAAUGGCCGAAAGGCUGACGCAGCGACGCCGCGUGGGGGAUGAAGCAUUUCGGUGUGUAAACCCCUGUUGCUCGGGACGAACAAGCGAUUUCGAUCGCUCUGACGGUACCGGGUGAGGAAGCACCGGCUAACUCCGUGCCAGCAGCCGCGGUAAUACGGAGGGUGCGAGCGUUGUCCGGAAUCACUGGGCGUAAAGGGCGCGUAGGCGGUCUGCUAAGCGUGCGGUGAAAGCCUGGGGCUCAAC